RNAcentral lists this ribosomal RNA (484 nucleotides) under uncultured bacterium. RNAcentral describes it as "partial 16S ribosomal RNA". It matches the Rfam family "Bacterial small subunit ribosomal RNA", at positions 30 to 507 of the family's 1533-position model. The record is from RNAcentral.
AUUGAACGCUGGCGGCAGGCCUAACACAUGCAAGUCGAGCGGAUGAAGGGAGCUUGCUCCUGGAUUCAGCGGCGGACGGGUGAGUAAUGCCUAGGAAUCUGCCUGGUAGUGGGGGAUAACGUCCGGAAACGGGCGCUAAUACCGCAUACGUCCUGAGGGAGAAAGUGGGGGAUCUUCGGACCUCACGCUAUCAGAUGAGCCUAGGUCGGAUUAGCUAGUUGGUGGGGUAAAGGCCUACCAAGGCGACGAUCCGUAACUGGUCUGAGAGGAUGAUCAGUCACACUGGAACUGAGACACGGUCCAGACUACUACGGGAGGCAGCAGUGGGGAAUAUUGGACAAUGGGCGAAAGCCUGAUCCAGCCAUGCCGCGUGUGUGAAGAAGGUCUUCGGAUUGUAAAGCACUUUAAGUGGGGAGGAAGGGCAGUAAGUUAAUACCUUGCUGUUUUGACGUUACCAACAGAAGAAGCACCGGCUAACUUCGUG